RNAcentral lists this transfer RNA (72 nucleotides) under Phrynosoma platyrhinos (Desert horned lizard). RNAcentral describes it as "tRNA-OTHER". The record is from RNAcentral. Lineage: Eukaryota; Metazoa; Chordata; Lepidosauria; Squamata; Phrynosomatidae.
GCCAGCAUGGCGUAGUGGUUUGAAUGUUGGGCUACAACUCUGGAGACCAGGGUUUGAUUCCCAGCUCUGCCG